ACGGGUAAGAGAAAAAUUGAAAUCUUACUAUCUCGAUAUAAUUGCAAUUAAUGUUUCGAAUGCGGAGUGGCCAAUAUAGGGUGUUAGAUACAACGAAUUUUCGUGUAAUUUUGUAAAAUAAAUGUGCUCAAAGGCUUUAUAUGCGACUGUUAAACAAUCUGUCAUGAAACAAGGAAAACGUGAAACAGACAUUACUUUGAUAUGGUCAUAAACGAUAUCUUGAGUUGUGUAUAUAAAUACACUUUAAACAUUAAAUCUUUUUCAUUGUUGAAUAUUUUGCGUAAAGGAGAUAACAUUUUUCAAAGGUUUCAGAUAGAUUAUCAAGAUGUCAUCCCAAGGCAGCCAAUCAGGAAGCAGCAAUAGUUCUAGCACCGGGAAUGGCCCGACGUGCACAGUAAGCAACCCUAGUAUUGACGAUUCCAUCGGUGUGAGUAUGUCUUGUACUGGUACAGGUUCAAGCGGCUCUGGAGUUCAAACAACUUAUAAUGUAGAAGUCAGUGACAAUGGAGCCUCAGGUUCUGUUGGCGUCAAGAUACCAAUUUAGCUAGACAUGUUGCAACCUUUAACCUUUGACUUAAUAAAAAAUCUACCAGGGAGAAAGAAAAACAGAAAAGAACAACCUCUUGACAACUAUUUCAAAACAUUCUUAUUUUAUGUUACUGUCCGUUACAAAAAUGUGACUUUGAUAUUUCUUGAAUUGUUAAAGCACUGAAGAAAGAAAUUGCUAACAAUGUCUUAAUAAAGACAAAAUCUUGAAAAAUUUA
Molecule: long non-coding RNA, 764 nt
Organism: Mercenaria mercenaria
Lineage: Eukaryota; Metazoa; Mollusca; Bivalvia; Venerida; Veneridae
Exons: 2
Source: RefSeq, a predicted model, not a curated record